RNAcentral lists this ribosomal RNA (404 nucleotides) under uncultured Rhodocyclaceae bacterium. RNAcentral describes it as "bacterial SSU rRNA". It matches the Rfam family "Bacterial small subunit ribosomal RNA", at positions 981 to 1382 of the family's 1533-position model. The record is from RNAcentral. Lineage: Bacteria; Pseudomonadati; Pseudomonadota; Betaproteobacteria; Rhodocyclales; Rhodocyclaceae.
UUGACAUGUCCGGAAUCCCGAAGAGAUUUGGGAGUGCUCGCAAGAGAACCGGAACACAGGUGCUGCAUGGCUGUCGUCAGCUCGUGUCGUGAGAUGUUGGUUAAGUCCCGCAACGAGCGCAACCCUUGUUCCAUUAGUUGCCAGUCAUUGGUUGGGCACUCUAAUGAGACUGCCGGUGACAAACCGGGAGGAAGGUGGGGAUGACGUCAAGUCCUCAUGGCCCUUAUGGGUAGGGCUUCACACGUCAUACAAUGGUCGGUACAGAGGGUUGCCAACCCGCGAGGGGGAGCUAAUCCCACAAAGCCGAUCGUAGUCCGGAUCGCAGUCUGCAACUCGACUGCGUGAAGUCGGAAUCGCUAGUAAUCGUGGAUCAGCAUGUCACGGUGAAUACGUUCCCGGGUCUU